RNAcentral lists this ribosomal RNA (301 nucleotides) under uncultured bacterium. Its description in RNAcentral is "partial 16S ribosomal RNA". It matches the Rfam family "Bacterial small subunit ribosomal RNA", at positions 509 to 809 of the family's 1533-position model. The record is from RNAcentral.
CAGCAGCCGCGGGAAUACGUAGGGUGCAAGCGUUAAUCGGAAUUACUGGGCGUAAAGCGUGCGCAGGCGGUUAUAUAAGACAGAUGUGAAAUCCCCGGGCUCAACCUGGGAACUGCAUUUGUGACUGUAUAGCUAGAGUACGGCAGAGGGGGAUGGAAUUCCGCGUGUAGCAGUGAAAUGCGUAGAUAUGCGGAGGAACACCGAUGGCGAAGGCAAUCCCCUGGGCCUGUACUGACGCUCAUGCACGAAAGCGUGGGGAGCAAACAGGAUUAGAUACCCCAGUAGUCCUGUCUCUUAUACA